RNAcentral lists this ribosomal RNA (253 nucleotides) under uncultured bacterium. RNAcentral describes it as "partial 16S ribosomal RNA". It matches the Rfam family "Bacterial small subunit ribosomal RNA", at positions 524 to 776 of the family's 1533-position model. The record is from RNAcentral.
GACGUAGGAUGCAAGCGUUGUCCGGAUUUAUUGGGCGUAAAGAGUUCGUAGGUGGUUCGUUAAGUCUGAUGUUAAAGACUGGGGCUCAACCCUGGAAGUGCAUUGGAUACUGGCGGACUUGAGUGUGGUAGAGGCAAUCGGAAUUCCGAGUGUAGCGGUGAAAUGCGUAGAUAUUCGGAGGAACACCAGUGGCGAAAGCGACUUUCUGGGACGUUCCUGACGCUGAGGUUCGAAAGCUCGGGGAGCAAACAGG